Non-coding RNA from Podarcis lilfordi (Lilford's wall lizard), 74 nucleotides. NCBI's taxonomy places the organism in Eukaryota, Metazoa, Chordata, Lepidosauria, Squamata, Lacertidae. The record is from the annotation of a GenBank genome assembly.
AGCGCUGUAGCUCAGUGGCAGAGCAAUUUGCAUGGUGUGCAGAAGGUCCCAGGCUCAAUCCCUAGGUUGUGUCU